This 427-nucleotide long non-coding RNA is filed under the name Capra hircus (goat). RNAcentral's name for it is "lncRNA (ENSCHIG00000007009.1)". The record is from RNAcentral. Lineage: Eukaryota; Metazoa; Chordata; Mammalia; Artiodactyla; Bovidae.
AAAGUUUGCUAGGAGCCUCUGGGAAGGGUUGCUUGACUUUUACAAAGAGACAUUCAUGAGACAUUGACCCUGUUCUUUCUCUUCAGGUGGCUGGAUCAGAGAGUGAUGUCAGGACUUCUGCAGCCAUCUUGUGUCCGUCAGGAGAGCCAGAACAGGGACAAAGUGGACAUGCAGGAGAGGAUGCAGAGGAUCGGAUCCAGACCCCUGGAGGCAUCCCAUCAGGGCACCCUUCCCCCGAGUUUCCCACGAGGAUGGGGCCAGUUGUCGCUGCCACACCUUUUUUCUCCACACUGGAGCAGGCUAGCAGAUCCAGUUUGCUCUUGCAAAUGGUGAUGAAGGUAAGUGAUGGGUCUUUGCAAUGACAUCUAGAUACUGUCUUACUUAAUCCUCACAACAACUCUUACAGUGGUGGCACCAUACCCACUUU